Nothobranchius furzeri (turquoise killifish) is the source of this 5264-nucleotide non-coding RNA. The record is from RefSeq and is a predicted model, not a curated record. NCBI's taxonomy places the organism in Eukaryota, Metazoa, Chordata, Actinopteri, Cyprinodontiformes, Nothobranchiidae.
UAUUUACAAAUAGGAAACCGUUUUUUGGGCCGCUGUAUAUCACAUGAAACUGACUGAUCUUUGAGAAGCUCUUUGAGAUUUGUCUUCCUAAGAUAAGUGCUAUGUAAGUAACUAUCCUUGUUUAUUAUAAAUGGCCACACAACCCCAUAAUAAAGUCCUAAAAUGGAAAGAUUGAUUGACUCCACCCACUCAGCCAGGACAUGAACAUGAGCUGUGUGUUCAUUAGGCUUCAUAAAAAAAUAUUUCUGGCAUUUAGCUGUCUACGUUUAAACUGGAACGUUAGCCGUAGCGAGCACAGGGAGCCUUAGGGCUGGUGUCCUGACUAUCUGUGCUAUACUUGCUUUUUAAAGAGCAAGUAACGUCUAAAUUAACUUUUUUUUUUUGCUGAUGAACUGUCUAAAUGAGUGUCUAGUGUUUUAAAUGUGUGCAUUCUUUAUUUUAGCAUUUUGGUGCAUUUUCUUUAACAAUUAAAUAUUCUGCCUAAAUACCACAGUAUAGCGCCACCUUCAGCUUAAAACAUAGAAUUUGACUCAUUUUGAAUAAAUUUUAGCCAAUGGCUAAAGAGUAAGAUACUACGUAAACCAGUAGAGUAUUACGUAGCAGCUCUGUGUCAAAGUUAUAAAAGCAACGAGCGUCUCGGCCACGCCUUGUGGCGAGUUGGGAGUUCGAUUUGCAAGCGAGUGUAGGAGGUUAGCGGUAGUUCAGCCUUAGCAUAUAGCAUUAGCAUAUCCUAGUCUUUAGCAUAGCUUUUAGUGUUAUAAAUACUUAUUUAGUGUUAGUUUGGCUGUUGGAUAUUGUAGUUUAGUUAGUGUUUGGCUUUUAGUGUAAUUGGGAAAGUAGUUCGGGUUUAGUGCUCCAUAUCGUGUUAGUAUUGGUGAGUAGGUGUAGUGUAAUAUGGUUGCGGUGGCUCUGUGGGCAUUUUACUCGCGAUUCUGCAUGUCUCCGUUUGAAGAGGGAGGCUGUGCCCACCGUGGCUCUUCCGCGAUUUAGAUGCAGCCCACCGACUCUGCUCCCCCACCACGGCGGGCUCCAGUCUGAGGUGAGUACGCUAAAUAAACGUUUUAACAUCUUCUAAAGACAAUUCCCUACCUAAAUGCAAAGUUGGAGAGACGUGGCUCACUUCCUUUAGCUAGUCAGUCGGAAAUUCUGCAACAGUGGCUCUAACCCCAGGUUUCCACGGGAGCCGUCAGCAGCACGUUACUGCAGCAGCACAUCUAGCUGCUGCUUGGCCCUUCCCACGAGACGCGAAGCAGCAGAGGAGCAGCUAUCACCGACGGAGCACGAAGUCACACGAGUGACUUCGUCAGUAAACACAACAACAAGCAGGAGAAAAUUACAACAUGGUUUGUGUUUUAUGUUCUGUCCGUUUUAUAAUCACCAAUACGGACCUGAAAAACAAAGGAGACCGCUAGCUAGGUGAUAACUUCUCACGGGGCCGCACAGUUAGUAACAUUUUUUAAAAGUAAAGCAACCGGAAGGCAGUACGUUCUUUAUUCUGAAAAUCUCGAGAUCUUCUCUCCAUUUCCGCGUCCGAUUUCCUGUCUUUCCUUCCCCAAAAAUUUCGAACUUGACCCGUUUCAGAGGCGUCGCGCGUAGAAAAUAGAACCGGCGCGUAAAGGCCGCGACAUGCUGCUCCUGAGACGCGGCCGACUCGCGCUGCUGACGGCUCCAGUGGAAAAGGUUCUGUUGACCACAGCGGUUCCUAUCAGCAGCUAUGACGUGCUGCUGCAGUAACGUGCUGCUGACGGCUCCUGUGGAAAGCCAGGGUAACUGACGCAGCACUAGUUGACACACAGCAUUACAGCGUGAAAUCCAGCUUGUGACCCGGUUCUGUAAGGAAUUCUGUUCAGGAGGUCGCAUUUCAGGCUCUCCACAUCAUGUGUGACUGACUUUUACGUUAUUACAACGAUCACACACUAGGAAUGUUAUAAAGCGCCUAUAUAGGACAGUUUCUUUUGUAUAUUAUCUGACUUUAUAAACUCCCAACAACAAUGUGCUUCUAUUUUUUUUUUUCAGGCUAAAUCUACCCAAGACACUGGCUGUCAGACUGAUUUAGCUGCAAGAAUGCACUUGUCCAGGCUGACGUGAAGCCUUACCUGUAGCAAAGCCAGCCAGAAUGGAGUUCACAGCCGCAGUGUGUCUGGUGACCCACAGGGACCAUGAUGGAAAUUCAUCUUCCAGAAAGUCCCAGAGCAGCGUCCACACCCCCUGAAAAGACCAAGAUGUAAGGUGUCUGCUGUUGAUUCCAGCUUCCACCUCAGUGACAGUGCAAGCUCAGUGAACUGUUCAAGGACAUUCAGCAAAAUAUGGACUCUACACCAUGAGGCAGGCACACAUUAAUAUUCUAUAAGCAUGAGGAUGUCCUCACACACCUGUAACUUAUCAGCUCAUCUGGCAGAAUAGAGAGAGAAGAGACAACACCACAUCUCCUGUUCCUGGAAAGCCUUCAGCCAUCCUUCGAUGACUGAGAACCUCCAUCAGCUCUGUCUCCUGUCUGCCUACAAUUAUUAUAAUAAAUAUUGUGUUUGACAAGUUUUUUUGUGCUGCCAAAUAUCUCAUAUAGAUUCCAGUUUUGAUAUUUUAAUGGAUAUUUAUAAAUUACAUUGAUUAUCACAUUUUUGUUGCAUGUUUAACUAGCUCUAUUGUGAUGAAUUAAACUAGCACCUCGAUGUUAAAAGCUCGUUUUAAUUUCAAGCAUGUUUAAGUAUUUAUGGACAUGAACAAAAACAGGAAAUAUAUAAAUUGAGAUUUAUUUAAUUAAUAUAACAAAUAAGGGGUAAAGAGUCAUUGAAAGGCACAUUCUUCUGGAAGCUCCUGAUCCUGACGACACCAGAGACCAGCUGCAGACACCAGAGGACCUAGAACCAAGAGAGCAGCUGUUAUCAGUAAAUAAAUAAAUCAGGGCAGUUUUAGUGGGCUGAACACAUUACAGAAUAAUUUUCUCAUGGGGUAUUUUCAUAACUUUGUAUGCAGCAGACUUUAACUUGAGCCCAGGGCUACCGGAGAGCUGCUAUCCAGCAUGUUUCAGUGGUUUUCCUGCUUUAACAGGUUAGAUUAGCUGUUAAGCAGCUCAGCUAUUUGUUGCUGAUUAAAACCAGGUGUGUUGAAGCAGAUAAACCUCUAAAACAUGCUGAAUACUAGCUUUUUAGGGCCGUGGAGCCGAACCCUGCAGCUAAUCCAAUGCUAUGGCUAACGGCUACUUACCAUUCAGAGCUGGUUCUGUUGGGUAUGUUCCGCUAGUUUCAGGCAACUCACAAGCUCAAAACAAUAAGGCUCAGGUCCGCUUGUCUCCUCCAAAUAGACUUGGUCCCUUUCUUCUCGAGUGUCUGGGUAAGGAGGGGGAGAAACGUCCUCCACUUCUAAUAACUGCUCAGAGUGAAGGGAGCUAGCUUCGUCUAGUUAGCCAUCGUCUUCGUCACUGCCGCGGCUCCGCCCUCUCAGUCCUCCAGGCAACGCCUACUAAUGUUGCAUUUUUAAAAAUUGAUACGUGGGUGGAGAAGGACUCCGAGGCUCAGUUGACCCGCUCUUUAACCUUGCUUGCGCCUUUGCUCCUAAAUUUGUUGCUGCACUCUAGUACUGGAGGAUUCUGCUAGGGGGCCCAGUAGAGUACUCAGACAGAAUAAAGAGCCAGGUUAGUGGGUAUAUUAAUGUCGAUGGGUACAACCACAAAUAAACUGUGUCCAAAUUCAGCAGUUACAUGUUCCCAAUCCCAAUACUCGUACUUCCACACUUGCUCCCUUCAACUCCACGAUCCCGACCAGCGGUGCAAGUGUAGGGUGUAGGAUUAGUUCAUGCUCUAAAAAAUUUUGACAGAACAGCAAUGAAUGUCAAAUUAUUUCAAUUUAUUGUUUGAUUGUUUGUUUGAAAGGGCUGCGCAGUGGCGCAGUGGUUAGAGCUGUUGCCUUGCAGGGAGAGGGUCCUGGGUUUGCUUCCUGGCCUGGGGUCUUACUGCAUGGAGUUUGCAUGUUCUCCCUGUGCAUGCGUGGGUUCUCCUCCCACAGUCCAAAAACAUGACUGUUAGGUUAAUUGGUCUGUCUAAGUUGUCCUUAGGAGUGAGUGUAUGUGUGAUUGUUUGUCCUGUGUGUCUGUGAUCCCCUGCGAUGGACUGGCUCUCUGUCCAGGGUGUACUCCGCCUGAUUGCCCAUUGACCGCUGGAGAUAGGCACCAGCCUCCCCCGUGACCCUGCGUGGACAGGCGGGUUCAGAAAAUGGAUGGAUGGAUGGAUGUUUGUAUGAAAGUUGUUAAUAAAGGGUUUUUUUUUAAGUCUCACAAUGACCAGCCUCCCUGCAUGCGUUGUGAUCGAUGGCGCAAUGCUCCCCAUCUCAAUUCGGCAAUUAUUUGCACAGUGUAUCAUGCACUCGAAGCCUUACAGUGCACUUUCUCCAAGUGCACUUUACUGAAGACUGCAGUGCGCAGUGCAAGUAUUGGGAUUGGGCCAUGCUCAUGAGUACCCUUCUGUGAAUUUGGACAGUCUAGCCUUAAAUAAUAGUCACGCCCCUACUUUGGCAGAUGUCCAACUGCUACUGUAGAAGCUGCAGAAAUGGAGCUCACACAUGUUUUAUACUUUUUCCUUGUUUUGUUAUUGUUUGAAGAGCUACAGCAGAUGUACCGCUGGAAUAUUUUGUAAGACGCAAUGAUAUGCUGUUAUAGUACUAUUUGCCUUUUUAAAGUCUAAAAGCUCCUAAGUUACCAAUUUCAUGACAACUUAAACUAGCUUCAUGAGUAAUUUGGGGUACUGAAAAACAUGAAAAGCUACUGUAUUUCAUAUCCAUCUGUGUGAUAUCCAACAGUGCAUCUCGGGCACUCUUUGAAUUUGGACGGUCUUCGUCAAGGCGCUGUGACGUCACUGGUCUUAAAAUCUGACCUGAUGAGCACGCAACCCCUGAAUUUGGACAGCCAUAGACAGGCUUCGAGUGCGUAGUCCACAAGUGUGCAAGUAAUUGCCAAAUUGGGACAGUAAGCAUUGCGUCAUCAACCACAACACAUGGCCAUCGCUGUUUGUGCUACUUUAAAAAAAAUCUUUAAACAAGCAAACAAUUUUGUGACAAAAUAUACAUUUAUAGCUGUUCACAUAAAAUCUUAGUCUGUAUCAGAGCGUGAAUAAAAAUUAUUAAUUGUCUUAAAAUGAACUUUCAUUGGAAAAUGCAUAUUUUCAGAAAAGGCUCUUGAGCCAUUGUUCCACCUUCUUGGAUUGUGGGUAAUAUCCUUCACACAAGUCCGCAUAGAUGCGGUCAACGUUCACACGUGAGGAUCAGGACACCCUA